CAGCUGUGAAGGGCGCUAUGGCAGCAUCAGAGCUCGGUGACCUCCUCCCUUAAUGUCACAGUGAAGCCAGCACUCUGCUCUCCAGGGAAAGCAGUGAGCCCUCCAUGAGCCAGUUCAGUGCAGCUGAGCAUAUGGACAGGAGCUCGCUGUUGCCGGAGAUGGAGAAUAACAGGCCCGGACACAGGGUGCCCCCAGGAUGAUGGAGCACCCUCCACAUGCUGUCAUGGCGGGCACAAGGGAGCCCCCUGUUCUGCUUUCUCCAAGCCCUCCAUGAUGCCUGAACAGCCCCCCGUGGAAGUGAGUCUCUUUGGAAAUUACAUUUCAUAACAGUAACAACCACGGCAGCUCUCACCUCUCGAGCACUCACCUGGGCAGACACAGGGCUCUGCACUUCGCCUGCAGUGUCUCAGUUAACACUCUGCGGGGGGCCCUCUGGUUAGCUGCAUUGUACAGAUGAACAAACCAAGGCUCAGCAAGGAUGGGUAACUUGCCAGGACCACAGAGCCAGUUGAGAGCAGACCACACUCUGCACUCCCCAGCCCUGGGACUCAGGAGACCCUCGGGCAUUUCAUCUCUAAAACGUAAGGGGUCAUAUCUGUUCUUGGGAGACCAGGAUAAUUUUUUUAAAGAUAAUGGAUAAUAACAGCUAAUAUUUAUUGUGCUCAUUCUAUGCACCAAGCCCUGUACUGGGAGCUUUAUUUGCACCAACUCAUUUAAUCCCCACAACAGCCCUAUGAGGAGGGAGUACCGUCCUAAUCCCCAUUGUAAAGAUGAGGAAACUGAGGCACAGAGAGACUGAAUAACCUGCCCAAAGUCACACAGUAACUAGCAAGUAGCAGAGUUGACUACAGGUCUGGAAUCUGCCCUAACCACCAUGCUACAAUGGUGCCUCUCAGUGGAGAUUGCAUGACACAGGACUCCCAUGGACAGAAGUGACAGAGACCCAAACAGGCAAGCUCAAGCAUAAAAGGAAAUACCUUGGUUCAUGAAAUGGAAAAGUUCAGGCACAGCUGGCUCCAGGUGCUCAACCGAUGUGUGGCAUCCACCUCCUUCAUCUCUCACUCUGCUUUCUCCUAGGCAGGCUCUGUUCUAAGCAGACUCUCUCCAACAGGUGACAAAGACGGUCCCAGGACUUCAGGCUUAGGCUCUACCCAUCUGGCAACCACCACAGAGCAAGUGACUCCUUCCAGCAAAACUUCCAAGGUUGGGUCUCACUGGUUGAGCUUGAGCCACAUCCCCAUUCCUGAGCCAGUCUCUAUGAUUCAAGGGGGGCCUACAAUUGAGAGUGGGGGGCUUCCCCAAAGGAAAAUUGAGGGGCUAUUCCCAAAGGAUGGAUAAUAGCUGCUGGGCUGGCGGAAACAUCAGCCAUGCCUCCGACAUGGAAGUACUUAGAAUUCUGCCAGACAGGGUCAGACAGGGUCAUUAUUACUGUAGGAGACCACAGUGUGCAUGGCAUUUGGACAAACCCAGGCUGAGAGACCUGCUUCCACAGAGGGGUUGGCAAGACGUCACAGUUUGGUCCAACAUCACCAUACACUUCCUUGGUCUCAGAAGGAGCGAGAAAGGAGCGUGGGUCUGCGACCCUGGGGUCUGCAUUCCUCCCCUCGUUCUGGCAUUCCCUGGCCAUGUGGCCUUGGGAAAGUGACCUAACCAUACUCAGACUUGAUUUUCUCAUCUGGAAAAUGGGAACCAGAAAACCUCUCUUGUAGGGUUGCUGUCAGGAUUGAAAGAGAAGAGGAUCCAGGUGCCUGGAACCAUCCUGGCACACAUCAGGGGCUCAAAGGAUGAUUUUUAAAAGCCCACCUGCCAGCAGGCGCCUGCACUCCUGAAAAGCCCUUUGGGCAUCUGAACUGAGGACCAGAGGACCUUCAGGAAAGCAAUUCCCCUUUGCCUUAGCUGUUGGCGGACUUUACAAAAAGAAGUUAAAUAAAGCCAAUGCUGUGACUCUCUUAGCUCUUUUCCAAGCCCCUUGACUCAGCAGUGGUGAAAACAUGAGGAGAACCAGUCCCACCAAGCCAAUCAAUGGCAAAGACUAGCUCCGAGGUCCCCAGGGCCCAGUGCUCCGGCAUUGAGGCUGCUGCCCUAAGAGGUCGGGAGACAGGAGAAGAGCAGGAAAGAGAAAGCUGCUCGCCCACUGCCACGACCAGUGGAAGCGCUCGUCCAGCUCUGCAGUCAGUGCUCUGUCUUGCUUGGCUGGGAGUUCCCAGGAGCAGGGGAAGCACUUUGUCACUAUGAAAUGCCACAAAAGUGGUUCUCAAAGAGGGCAUCACAGGACCCGCAGCCCUUGGGGAACUAACAGGUGUGCAGUGCAUUCUGGGUGAUUUGAAUUCUGGAGAAAAUCUGGCAUCAAAAUGUUAGGAAAGCCUCCUGUGGUGCAAAAUUUAAAAUAAUGCAAAUCUCCCUUUUCACAUGUUCAAAAUGUGUCAAGAAUUGCAUAACUGCAAACGAACGAGGUGUCAGUGGAGCUUUCUGUGCUGCCCAUGUCAGCACCACCACAGCUAGUGAAUAAUCGUACCCUGCCCUUUAUCCAUGCUGCGAGAAAUAGGUCUUGAAUUAUUCACUUUGUGCACAAUACAGUAGCUUAAAGAAUGGAUCCUGUGCAUGAAACAACCACCCUGACUUGAGAACAAGUGGCUGUGCUCAGACAUGCUCCCUGCACAUCACUGGCACUCCAUACCUUAUUGGGGGGUGGGCAGAGGGGAGAGGAGUGGUGGGGAGGGAAGAAGGGAGAUGAUGGUUUAAAUCAGGGGUCAGCUCAUAGGCUGAAUCCUUCCAGCACUGCUGCCCACCUGGGGCCUCAGCCCUGCUUCUCCCGGCCCUGGGGCACUGAGCUGUCGAAGACCAGCAAGAGGACACAGCUGCUCCUUCCUCCGGCCUCAGACCUCAAGCACAUCCGGCCACUCACUGCCACGCACGCCACCCCCUGCUGCAACCGCUGCCAGUGUCCAGCCAUCUAUGGCCCAGCUCCGGGCCGGGACAGCAUUGCAGGAGUGCCAACUUGCAUUGGACAAGGGAUCAGGAAACCCCCUUCUCUGCCCUGGAGGGCUCAUCAGCCGAGCUGAGAGGAAUCAUGGAAGGACAGGAGAAGGGCUGUGAAAGAGGGGAAAUCCAAGAAGCCUUCCUGGAGAUGUGGCCCCUGAGAUGGGCCCACCCACAGGGCAUUGACCAGGGUGACUGCAAAGGCAGAAGGCAUUUCAGAGUGAGAGUAGCCUGGCCAGCAUCAGGGAGCAGGCAAGCGCAGAGUGUCUUCAAGGAGCCUUGUAGUCCAUGUCUGCUUAAGAGCAGCCUUUUGCGCUCUGAGAGAGCCUCAGUGGAGCAGCCUGGCUGGGGCCGAGUGGCAGCUAGGGGUCCUGAAUGGCAAGAGAAGAACCUCCUGGCAACGAGGCUGUUGGAAACUCCAAGAUGGGCAGCAGUGUGAUCCGGACCGGCGCUCACAUGAAACCUCACUGUUCAACCCACAGGUGCAGAGAGUGUAAAUGAAUGUGACAGCCUAACGGUGUCAGCUGCUGUUUGUGCACACAGUGUGCCAGCCAUGUGCAAAACACUGUAUGGGCACGAUUUCAUUUUAUCCUCACAAAACCCUUAUGAGAUGGGGACGACAAUUAACCCUGCUUUCCUAAAGAAGAUGAGGUUCAGAGAGGUUAAGAAACUUACCCAAGGCCACUCAGCCAGCAAGUGGCAGGGACAGGGGUUUGAAUCCAGGCCCUUGACUACUCUUUCUUAACCUCUUCCUGUGGCAGAAAGAAGAUACCCAGCACAUGGGCUGUAAACUGUUCUCUAAUGCCGAAUCAUUUCCUCCAGAUGGCCUCCACCACACUGUGUUAGAGCACCGGGUAGGCCCAGCUGUCCCUGGCUGUGGUGGUCUUCCCAGCAGUGCUCCUCAGCAGGGCUGGGCCUCCAGGGAGGCACCAGUGUCAGCCUGUCUCAGUCCCCGUGGCCUGGCCCAGAGCCUAGCUCAUAGUAGGCAUUCAGCAAAUAACUGUGGGCUGAACAAAUGGUUGCACUGCUGUUUGUAAGUGACUGAAACACAGCCCACGGCGGCCAGCUUUCCUCUUUAAUCCCUGUUAAAAGGCAAAGUGAAGCUCUCCGAAUAUCUGCAUGAUCAUGAGCGAUCUUGAAGGUGAAACACGUUCCCCCAGAUUACCCACCGUGUCUGGUUUCAAAGGACUUAUAUUCUUGUAGACUUUGGCUUCAAGAUGGAACAUGUCAAAUUCUGACAGUCAGAACGAGAGCAGCUCCUGAGAUGUUCAAAAAAGGCAGCAGCCAGCCCGUGACAGCCCUCCCAGCCCCCCAGGGAAGAGGCGGGGUAGGAGAAGCGGAGUCUUCAUCUGGGUCGGCAGAAAUGAGUGGUGGCAUCAGCUGCUCGGGCUGCCCCAUGACCCACUCAUUCUUUCCCCUAACCCAGGAACUGAUGCCAUAAAUCUCAGGAUUACUGAUGGCUCCACUCCUCCAGGUAUGGGCUUCUUGCCCGGGGACUAAACAUCUUAUUCAAGAUGAUCUAACUACGUUUGUUGAGAAACAGACAGACAGAAACAGAAAAAGAAGAACAGAGGGCACACGCCACAAAUUGAAGGUUGUCCCUGGAGCAUGGGCUCAUGCGUGAUGUUGGUUUCAGAAAGCAAAAGAUCAGGUGUGGCCAGCGACUUGCAGCUGCCCCCCCUGAAUGGGGCCAUUCAGUCCAGCUGUGGUGGCGUGGGCGGGGACAGGAAGGUGGUUGAGAAACAGGGAUGAGAAAGUUUGCUGGGGCCCCGGCCUUCAGGGCCUGGGAGAGGCCUGGAGGGUGGAGGUGGACAGGAGGCAAGGGAGGUGUCCCCUUGCUAAUCUGGCAGGAAGUGGGCAUCUGUGACCUGGCUGCCACCUCCCCUCGGUGCCCACCUGUGCCCACCACCCACUGCGCUGGUGGCACCUGCCUGUCUCCCCCUAGCCUGCAGGCACCUCUGGGCAGGAACUGUGUCUGAAUCCUCUCUCUCUCCUAUGCCUGUCCCAGAACCUGCACAGAGGAGCUACUCAGAGAAGGCUGAUGAAUGGAAUAGUCAUUGGUUUGGGAGUGGAAGGAUCUGCCCUCAGAAGGCCCCUGGUACAAAGCCAGAAAACAGAUAUUUUGGUGAGGUUAAAGGUGGGCUCUAUCAUGAGAUGUUUAAAAGCACACACUUCAGAGCAAGAUGGCCUGGAUUCAAGUUCUAGUUCCACCAUUUCCUGGCUGUGUGACCUUGAGGAAGUCACUUAACCUCUCUGAACCUCAACUUCCUGAUGUGUAAAAUUGGAAAAAUAAUAAAACCCACUUCAUAACGUU
Equus caballus (horse) is the source of this 5293-nucleotide non-coding RNA. NCBI's taxonomy places the organism in Eukaryota, Metazoa, Chordata, Mammalia, Perissodactyla, Equidae. The record is from RefSeq and is a predicted model, not a curated record.